AUGACUAAAAGCCUUAACAUCGCCUCGUGGAAUGUUCGGGGUCUUGGACGCCCGAACAAAUGUGUUGAUGUAAAAAAAGCCUUACAAUCUGCCCAAGGUUUGAUCCUUUGCCUUCAAGAAACUAAGCUGCAAGAUAUUCCACCUUUUAAGGCUGUCUCUUUUCUGCCGAUCGGCCUUAGAAACUUCCAUUACCUCCCGUCGGUUGGGGCAUCUGGGGGGCUGCUAAUCGCUUGGGACGACGCUAAUCUAGAGUGCACUAACGUUCAUCUAGACCGGUUCUUCAUCACGUGUUGGUUCUCCUUCCGGGCAACUGACGUUUCCUUCGCUAUUACCAACGUAUAUGGGCCGUGCGAUCUUUCCCUUAAACAAGAAUUCUUGGACUCCCUAAUCCUUGCGUCGUCUACGAUUACUUGCCCCUGGCUGGUAUUCGGGGAUUUCAACCUUAUUCUUCGCCCAAGAGACAAAUCUUCCAACCACUUUAACUCUAACGAAGCUAGGCUAUUUGCUUCGGCCAUUAACUCCAUGCAGCUCCAAGAAAUCCCGCUCCUAGACCGUCUCUACACGUGGUCUAAUCAA
RNAcentral lists this ribosomal RNA (576 nucleotides) under Triticum aestivum (bread wheat). RNAcentral's name for it is "partial small subunit ribosomal RNA". The record is from RNAcentral. Lineage: Eukaryota; Viridiplantae; Streptophyta; Magnoliopsida; Poales; Poaceae.